RNAcentral lists this ribosomal RNA (92 nucleotides) under Sinocyclocheilus rhinocerous. Lineage: Eukaryota; Metazoa; Chordata; Actinopteri; Cypriniformes; Cyprinidae. The record is from RNAcentral.
GCUUACGGCCAUACAACCCUGUCUGCGCCCGAUCUUGUAUGAUCUUGGAAGCUAAGUAGGGUUGGGCCUGGUUAGUACAUGGAUGGGAGACC